GGGCCUAUAGCUCAGCUGGUUAGAGCGUACCCCUGAUAAGGGUAAGGUCGGACGUUCGAAUCGUCCUAGGCCCA
Molecule: transfer RNA, 74 nt
Filed under: Phycisphaerales bacterium
Lineage: Bacteria; Pseudomonadati; Planctomycetota; Phycisphaerae; Phycisphaerales
Description: tRNA-Ile
Rfam family: tRNA
About the family: Transfer RNA (tRNA) molecules are approximately 80 nucleotides in length. Their secondary structure includes four short double-helical elements and three loops (D, anti-codon, and T loops).
Source: RNAcentral